UACAGAGGGGGCAAGCGUUAUUCGGAAUUAUUGGGCGUAAAGGGCGCGUAGGCGGCCUGGCAAGUGGAAGGUGAAAUCCCUCGGCUUAACCGAGGAACUGCCCUCCAAACUGCUUGGCUUGAGUCCGGGAGAGGUGAGUGGAAUUCCCAGUGUAGCGGUGGAAUGCGUAGAGAUCCGGAAGAACACCGGUGGCGAAGGCGGCCUGCUGGGCUAUGGCUGACACUGAGGCGCGACAGCGUGGGGAGCAAACAGG
Molecule: ribosomal RNA, 253 nt
Filed under: uncultured bacterium
Lineage: Bacteria
Description: partial 16S ribosomal RNA
Rfam family: Bacterial small subunit ribosomal RNA
Source: RNAcentral